This 2780-nucleotide long non-coding RNA is filed under the name Homo sapiens (human). Its description in RNAcentral is "HSALNT0301714". The record is from RNAcentral. Lineage: Eukaryota; Metazoa; Chordata; Mammalia; Primates; Hominidae.
AUUAGAAUAUCAUGUAACUGCUUUGGCAGUUCGGCUUAAGAAAAUGAGGUUUUAGCAUUACUUUUUAACUUAUAUCUUUAUGAGCUUUUUUCUCUUUUUUGGGGAUAAUAGAGAUGUGACUGAAUUGUACUUUUUGUAAGGAGCAGGCCAGCCAAUAUUCAAAUUUGAAUUUUAAAAGGAAUCUCUUCCUGUCACUACAGCUGUGGAUCAAAGGCAGUGUGGAGUAGCAGUAAAAUGGUUGAUUAAAGAUUAUUUUACAUUGAAAUAUGUUUUUUCCAAAUGUUAUUGUAAAGGAACUGAGGAAAACCCCACAGUCUGUUGAGUGAAAGUAGGACAUUUGUUAAGCGUUCACAUGGGACUCUGUAAUAGGUGAAGUCAAGGUUCUUAGACAAAAAUUGUCAAUGUGGGAGGCCCUUAUAGUUAUAAAAAUGAUAUGGGGUCCUCAACAUCCUUCUCGAACAUUGAGAGGAUCUUGGUCAUACAUCGUAGGGUGCUCAGAGCAUUGUCUGCUAGUAGAGGGGUUGGAAUGGACAACUGUGCAGAGAGACUGCUAUUGCUGGAGAAUCAAUAGGCACAAUGGGAGAUAAGUACGUCUUCUAUACUAAGGAAUUCUAGAUACUAAUGAUUUUGCAAUAACAUGAAAAACAAAUCAGAAACAAACAGAAAAGAAAAUUCUCUCUCUCUCUGGGAAAACCACCGCAUUAGGCUUUUUCACCAUGAUUUUCCAUGAUUAUAUAUGAAAGAUUCUCUAGUAUUUAAUGGGAAAAAAGAAAACUUCUGGAGACCCAGGAAGAGUUUUGGUGGAAAAGACUAACAGAGGUUUUAAUCUCGAGCUCUGGGAGGUGUCUCGCCUCUUUAAGUAGAAGCAGAUUUGAUAUCAUUCCUUUAAUUAAAACCAUCUGAUGCACAAAAUCCCUUCUCAAUUGCCCUAGAUAACUUAUUUUCCAACUCCACCUUCAAAUGGUUUGUCUUCCAAUGAAGCGUGUUAUCGUUUAUUCAAAUGACUGAUAACCCAAGAGUCGUGAAUAAUGGAAAAAUGACAAAACUUGCUAUACAUAAUCAGUUGGCAAAGGAAGGAGAAAUAACAGCUGCUUAACUGUUAUAACAUAUAUUUUUAAACUGAGCUUGUAAGUCAGUGUAACUGCCAAGUCACAGAUUUUUUUCAGUAAUCUCAAGAUGGCUUAAAGCCAUACAGAUAGGAGUUUGUUGGUGGCUUUCUUCUACCCCGAGCUCUUGUCUUUGGAAAUAUUGGGCAGGGAGAAAGGGUGCUUUUAGAACCGAGCUGUUCAGGGUCCCAGAUCCUCUAAUGUAAUGCCAGCUGAACCCAGACAGUGACUUCCACCUCCAUGAAUGCAGGUGAUUGCAUCCUUUGAAAGCCUGUUUGCAUAGCAGACAAUGAAGCUGAGCAGAGAAAAACAAGAUGAGAGACAGAUGGAGUAGGAGACCUGAGAAGAUGGCUUGAGUCCAUGAAUUCUGGUGUUCCCUAGGCCACAUUUGCCCCCAUCCUUCCCAGAUUUUACUUUCUACUCUUGUCAGUCAUAUCUGCAAGGCUGACAGUUACCAGGGGCUGUGGCCAGGCAUGAGGGAGAAUGUGUCAUUGCUGGCUGCGUUGGUCAUAGCAACGUGUCUGCCUCAGAACAGAUCCAGCAUGGAUGAGCAAACAGAAAAAUGUGUAAGAAGGCUUGUGACUGAAACAGACCAAGGGUGAGAGAACCUUUGUGGGAGCGCAGAAGUCCAGCAGAGAGACCCUAGCACUUUAUUUGGACCAAAAAAUAAAUAAUAAAUAAAUAAAUAAAUAAAUCCAAAACUAGAUGCAUUAAAGAAGGUAAGAACAGUUUUACUUUACCUGUGUCACCCCUCCCCCAGUGUGGCACAGAUCAGUGCCAAGAGAGACCGCUUCAGCCCAGUUUCUUCCACAGGGGAAAAUGAGAACAGUGAGUGCCUAAUUUCCUCAGCUGUAGGAUGCUGUAGAAGAGACCCACUUCUGCCUCACCCAUUUGAGAACCCUGAGGGAAUCAGUAUGGCUGAAUAAUCUGGGGGUAGCUAGGAGCAGGGAAAAGGGGCAGCACUCACAGCAACCUGAGUAUGGAAUUCAGCAAAGAGCCACAGUUUCUAUUAACUACCUCCCAAAUUCCAUCAAGAGGGCCAGCCACAAACUACAUAGGAUGCAUAAUCUGCAGAUCCCCUGACUAGCCCAUGUGUGCUUCCAACCUUCUGCAUGCCCUUCCCCCAUGUAGCUGGCACCCUGAAUGCACCCCCAUGGAUAGCAUGUACAAGCUUCUGCAGAUUGUGCAUGAGAACAUGAAGAUAACUAACUUGAUUCAGGAUUGGAAGGAAGUGACUAAUCUUGAAUUUUUCAAGGCACUUCCUAGGGAAGAUAAACAGGAGGCUUACAUUGCACCUGGCCUGACUUUUGCAAGAUCAAGAGAAGGAAUAUGCUGUAAUUUGAAUGAAAAUUUAACAUUUAAAAUUUAUGUUGAAGCUGAAUACUCAAUGCAAUAGUACUAAGAAGUCUAACCUUUGGGAGGUGAUUAAGUCAUGAUGACUCUUCUCACUUGAAUGGGAUGAGCACUCAUAAAAGAUGUCAAGGUUUAUGGGAGUUCUCUUUUGCCCUUCCAUCCCUUCUGCCAGGUUAGACUUCUCCUAUGGAGAAUGCAGCAAGAAAAUACCAUCUUGAAGCAGAGAGCAGCGCUCAUCAGGCAUCAGUCCUUCUGGAGCCUUGAUCUUGGACCUCCCAGCUCCAAAAUAAUAAGUAAUAAAUUGUUAUUGCUUAUAAAUUA